AUGGACGAUGCGGCGGCGGCCGAACCCGAGCCCAAGAAGCUGAGGCAGGACGAGCAAGAGCCUCCGGCGAGCAGGGAGGGUGACGGAGACGGCGAAGAGAAGCUCGACCACAUCAGCCGCAUGCCCGACGACAUCCUCGGCAGCGUCAUCUCCCUCCUCUCCACCAAGGAGGCCGCGCGGACACGCCUUCUCUCCUCGCGGUGGCGCCACCUCUGGCGCUCCGCCCCGCUCAACCUCGUCGUCGACCGCCGCCUCUCGGGACGGGAGCGCGACCGUGUCGCCAUCGUCUCCAAGAUCCUUGCCACGCACCACGGCCCUGCUUGCCGCUUCUCCCUCGCCAUCGGCGCCAUCCGCCUGCGCCGCGACCUCUACGCCAAGUUCGACGGCUGGUUCCGGUCCCCCGCGCUCGAUGGCCUCGAGGAGCUCCAAUUCUACGGGGGCUGCAAUCCGCUGCCGCCGUCCGCGCUCCGCUUGGCGCCCACGCUGCGUGUCGCCAGCUUCCGCGACUGUGGUUUCCCCGACGUUGCUGCUGUCCCCGCGCUCCGUCUCCCUCGGCUGAAGCACCUCAAGCUCCCCGGCGUCGCCAUUUCGGAGGAAGCCCUCCUCCACCUGCUCGCCGGCUGCACUGCGCUCGAGAGCCUUGAGCUUCAGGGCAACGGGCUCAGCACUGUCCGGAUCGUCUCGCCGACUCUUCGGAAUAUCGCUGUCUAUGUAUCUUACUACCACAAAUCAGACGUGGUGCUUCAGGAGCUUGUCAUUGAGGAUGCACCGUGCCUUGAAAGAUUGAUCCCACUUGAUUCAGGGGAUGUCCCAAUGACAAUCACGGUUAUCGCGGCACCCAAGCUAACGGUAUUGGGCUACCUGUCUAGCCAAAUCUACGAACUUGUGAUUGGAACCAUAAUUGUUAAGGAAAUGAUCCCCGUCAGCUUGACCGCGCCAAUGCGCACAGUGAAGGUGUUGGUCCUAGAAUCCAUCGGCCCCAACCUGGAUACAAUUGCUCGAUUUCUUAGAUGCUUUCCUUGCAUGGAAAAGCUAUACAUCCAGUCACGUUUUAGGAAGGAUAUGAAAAAUGUGGGUCCAUAUGACAUACUCAUUGAUCCUAUUGAAUGCCUCAGUCUCCAUCUAAGUGCAAUCGUAAUAAACACCUAUCGAGGCAUGCAGCCAGAUGUUAACUUUGCCAAGUUCUUUGUUCUGAAUGCAAAGGUGCUAAAGGUAAUGAAAUUUGGUGUCUGUGGUACAUAUAAUGAGAAAUGGAUGGCUAAUCAGCAGAGACGGCUACAACUAGACAAGAGGGCUUCUAGAGAUGCUCGAUUUGAUUUUGAAAGAGAUGUUGGUGGGUGUUGGUUUUCCAAUAAGAAGCACACACAUGAUUUGUGGAUAGCUGAUCCAUUUGAUAGCUCGUUAUGCAAUUGUUGUUAA
This 1419-nucleotide ribosomal RNA is filed under the name Triticum aestivum (bread wheat). RNAcentral's name for it is "partial small subunit ribosomal RNA". Lineage: Eukaryota; Viridiplantae; Streptophyta; Magnoliopsida; Poales; Poaceae. The record is from RNAcentral.